Molecule: ribosomal RNA, 292 nt
Filed under: uncultured Planctomycetota bacterium
Lineage: Bacteria; Pseudomonadati; Planctomycetota
Description: uncultured planctomycete partial 16S ribosomal RNA
Source: RNAcentral
GGACUACUCGGGUAUCUAAUCCCGUUUGCUCCCCUGGCUUUCGCGCCUCAGCGUCAGUAGAGGGCCAGCGGACCGCUUUCGCCACCGGCGUUCCUUCCGAUAUCAACGCAUUUCACCGCUCCACCGGAAGUUCCGUCCGCCCCUACCUCCCUCGAGCCACGCAGUAUCAAAGGCACUUUUCCGGUUGGGCCGAAAGAUUUCACCUCUGACUUGCCUGGCCGCCUACGCGCCCUUUAAGCCCAGUGAUUCCGAACAACGUUCGCACGGUUCGUCUUACCGCGGCUGCUGGCAC